UGAAAGGAAGAGGCUACGAUAAUGAGGUAAAUAACAGAUGCUGAUGACAUCCACUAAGUAUCGGUUCCUUAUGCAACUUUUCCUAGUUCCAGAACAGCGCACACACAGUCGAGUCACGUUAUUCUAACUACUUCCUACUUUCGACAUUGGCAGCGUGUAGCACAUGAAGAAGUCCCGUGUGGCGAGCUGGCUUGGUGGGUAUAUGAGACACAUCACCAACACCAUGAAACAAAAGGGGGGAAAUGAGGGUGAUGUCAUGGACUCAGGAAAAUCUAAUUACCGACCCUGAGUCUUCUGUGCCUACUUGAUUAAGUUCAAAAAUAGAAGCCACUAUCCAGGCAGAAAAAACCCACAUGACAGCCCAAGUGCACCCCUGCACACUCCUCCUCGGGGUCUGAGAAAACAGCAAUACCAAAACUAAGGCAUUUCUAAAGUCCUAUACUGAAUCCUAAGGAAGAAAACACAUGGGAAAAUUUGUCAUACUUGGAACAUACUGCAUUUUGAAAAAAACACCAUGGACCCAAAAGAAGUACUAAAGGUUAAGAAAAUGUCAC
Bufo gargarizans (Asiatic toad) is the source of this 554-nucleotide long non-coding RNA. RefSeq lists it as uncharacterized. The record is from RefSeq and is a predicted model, not a curated record. The transcript is spliced from 5 exons. Lineage: Eukaryota; Metazoa; Chordata; Amphibia; Anura; Bufonidae.